UGCAAAAUCCGCUUUCUAAUCAGCUUCUGCAAACACACGAAUUAGGGUUUCACAUUUUAUGCAUUUUUGUCAAUGGACAUCGAUCCCGAUAUUUCAAAUUGGAUUCUCGAAUUCCUUCUUAAACAACCCCUCCAAGAUAGUAUAUUGAAUUUUCUGGUUUCUAAUCUUCCUCUCCCCAACAACAAUCCUAUUCUGAAAAAAUCCCUUCUGUUGAAGAAGCUCGAGUUUGAAAUCUCACACAAUUCUGCUGUUUCGGAAACAACCCUUGAACACCUGGAACAACUCGAAGAACUAGAAUCCCGAAAAGGGGUUGAAAGAGUUUCCGAUGCCAUGAAGUGCGCGUAUUGGCAAAUUGCGGUUGAAUGCUCGGUGAAGUAUUUGAAAAAGGAGGUUUGGAAGAAGAGUAAGUACGAUUUUUUUAAGUCACUGAAGAGUGUGUGGUGGGGUAGGGUUGGGAAACUGGAGAAGGUGGAGAAUGGAGGAUUGGGUUCGGAGGAGUUGUUUGCCUGGAGGGACGAGAUGGAUAAUGCCUUUCCGAAGAAACGUGCUCGGAAAAGAUUGGUUAAAAAGAGUAAGGGAGUUAAUGCAGUUGAGGCUCUUAGGGUUUAUUUGAAAGAAGAAAGGGAGAAAAUGGGGCCUUCGUUUCUUGAGUUGGUUGCUCAUAGAUUCAAGGAUGAGGAGACAAUGAAGGAGGUGCUCGGAUUGGGGAAUGCCAAUGGGAUUGUACCUAACGAACCAGUUUUACGUAGUGCUGAUCAGGAUUCGGCUGCUAAGAACAAUAAUGGAGGUGGUUCCUUGUUUCUUGCAGUAGUGCAAAAAGAUGCAUCAUUGCAGCGAUCAUCAGAUACUUUUAGAGGAGCUGAGGUUGUUGAUUCUGACUGUUUGGCAGUACAGCCAUUGCUUUGCAAAUAUGAUUUGCCACCUACCCCAGAAGUUACCAGAGUACAGGAAGCACUUGAGUCAAGUCGUUUGGAUCUUCAAGCAAACGUGAAGGACCCCCUUCCUGAUGCACUACGACGUGCUGAAGUAAUCACUGGCAAGGAAAGAGGAAGUACAGAUCAUGAGCCCAUAAAAGAGAAUCAUGUCAGCCCCAAUCCUUCAGCUGUGAAUGGUGCUGGAGUAAUCACUGGCAAGGAAAGAGGAAGUACAGAUCAUGAGCCCAUACAAGAGAAUCAUGUCAGCCCCAAUCCUUCAGCUGUGAAUGGUGUUGUUCGAACUGAUGGAGGAAAUCCAAGUAAUAGACCCAGACCAAGCUUAAUGGAAAGAAACAGCACUGCCCAUACUCAUGAGUGGGAUGAAUCAAAUGUGAAUUCAUUAGAAGACUCAACAGAUCGUGUGAGCAGGCCUAAGUUGCCAAGUCCAAAGAGAAGGCUCGUAUCUCCUUUGAAGAAAACCGGGAAAGGACAAACAACGAAGAGGAGAAGAGUUGGCAAAUGGAGUGCAGAGGAAGAAGACACUCUGCGGGCUGGAGUAGAGGAGUAUGGACAAGGAAAUUGGAAAUGUAUCCUAAAGGCCUACCGCCACAUAUUUGAAGGCAGAAGAACUGAGGUUGAUUUGAAGGACAAGUGGAGAAACAUGAAUCGCUAUUGAGAACUUUAAGAAAAUUUUCUCAUGUGGAGGUAUGAUUUCUUCACAGCCCCUUAUUUUGUCAUGGAACAGCUGUUCUAAUGGUACCUAGAGGGAUAGUGAUGUUGGACAAUUCUAUUACAAAUAGGAUAGGAUUUGUGUUUAGCUGGGUUUUUUAUUGUUUAGAUCAUGACUUUUUAUUCUUUGAGGUUUCUGGUGUCUUACUCUUUUACGUUUUAGUUACUUAUCUUCCUUAAGCAAUUAUGGUUAUCAGAAGCAAAGGUCAUGUACCAUUUUUAAAUAAAACCAAUUCACUGCGAUAAAAUUAUUCUCUGUAGUCUGCCGUCUCUUCUUCUAGCCGUGUUUCUUUUUCUUUUUUUCUUUCUCACUUCAGUCGUCACUUUCUUCUUUCCUUCCUAGUAGUCAGCCGUCUCUUCUUCUGGCUGUGUUUCUUUUUUCUUCCAGCCAUUCAGCCAUGUUUUCUUCGAGCUGUCUGUUUUGCUUCUGCUUAAUAUUUUCUUCCAGCCAUCUGCAUUUCUGUCUCUACACAACGCAAUGGGACCUUCGACGCACGUUGGCAACGUGUCGUAGACGUACCGGUGUCUGAUGUCGAAGCUGACAGCGUGUCGGUGCCUCCCAGUGUGCAAUUGAAAUGGUGUAGCCCACUUUUGGCCAUGUUGAUCAUCAAAGGAAGCAUGUCGUCUUUUGGUUUUGUAAAUAAAGCUCUUAAGACCCCUUUUGGUCGAAAUGGGUAUGGCAUGGGUUCUGCUUUGCCCCAUGUCAAUGCUACGGCUGGAUGUGCAUAAGAUGUGUGGCUCAUGUGCCAUUCGGCAAGGACCCAAGCAAGGAAACGUGUUGGCAUGGGCUGGAUGGGCGGGUGAUAUGCGCAUUUGGCAGGUAGCGGAAGCAUACAAUGCUGAUUUACUUGAUGGCAGCACUGCAUGGGCAGAAUUACCCCGAUGUCAGGGGACGGAAUGCUGCAGGCAAGCACAAACAAAGUUGGUUGGCAUGAAGUGAGUCAGUGUGUCAGUCUAAGCAUGCUGAGUGCAUAUGGGGAAAUAAUUUACUGCAGGCAACUUUGUUUUUUAGUGGGUGAAUUCAGCCUUGGUGGUUAAUUUUCUCAGCGAUUAUGGGCGGUUAUCUUGGUCCAUUGGCCUUAGUUAGAUUUCUACAAAUCCAAGCAGUUACGGGUAUUUCCUGUAUAAAUACAAAUUGCUGAGGCAGCAAUUGGUAGUGUGUUUACCCUUCACAUUUGUACUUGAAUUUCCUUAAAUUGUUGAGCAGUAAAGGUUGGGAAGAAUUCCUUAAUACUAUCUCUCCCUUUAUCUUUUA
Molecule: RNA transcript, 2898 nt
Organism: Olea europaea var. sylvestris
Lineage: Eukaryota; Viridiplantae; Streptophyta; Magnoliopsida; Lamiales; Oleaceae
Exons: 6
Source: RefSeq, a predicted model, not a curated record